AGAGUUUGAUCCUGGCUCAGGAUGAACGCUGGCGGCGUGCCUAACACAUGCAAGUCGAGCGAAGCGCUUAGAUUGGAUUCUUCGGAUGAAGAUCUUUGUGACUGAGCGGCGGACGGGUGAGUAACGCGUGGGCAACCUGCCUUACACAGGGGGAUAACAGUUAGAAAUGACUGCUAAUACCGCAUAAGACCGCAGUGCCGCAUGGUACAGCGGUAAAAACUCCGGUGGUGUAAGAUGGGCCCGCGUCUGAUUAGGUAGUUGGCGGGGUAACGGCCCACCAAGCCGACGAUCAGUAGCCGACCUGAGAGGGUGACCGGCCACAUUGGGACUGAGACACGGCCCAGACUCCUACGGGAGGCAGCAGUGGGGAAUAUUGCACAAUGGGGGAAACCCUGAUGCAGCGACGCCGCGUGAGCGAUGAAGUAUUUCGGUAUGUAAAGCUCUAUCAGCAGGGAAGAAAAUGACGGUACCUGACUAAGAAGCCCCGGCUAACUACGUGCCAGCAGCCGCGGUAAUACGUAGGGGGCAAGCGUUAUCCGGAAUGAUUGGGCGUAAAGGGUGCGCAGGCGGUCCUGCAAGUCUGGAGUGAAACGCAUGAGCUCAACUCAUGCAUGGCUUUGGAAACUGGAGGACUGGAGAGCAGGAGAGGGCGGUGGAACUCCAUGUGUAGCGGUAAAAUGCGUAGAUAUAUGGAAGAACACCAGUGGCGAAGGCGGCCGCCUGGCCUGUUGCUGACGCUGAGGCACGAAAGCGUGGGGAGCAAAUAGGAUUAGAUACCCUAGUAGUCCACGCCGUAAACGAUGAGGACCAAGUGUUGGGGGGUGAAACCUCAGUGCUGAAGUUAAACGCAAGGGGUCCUCCGCCUGGGGAGUAUGCACGCAAAGUGUGAAACUACAAAGGAAUUGACGGGGGCCCGCACAAGCGGUGGAGUAUGUGGUUUAAUUAGAAGCAACGCGAAGAACCUUACCAGGCCUUGACAUGGGAUGCGAAGAUGCAGAGAUGCAUCGGAGGUCAACAUCCACACAGGUGGUGCAUGGUUGUCGUCAGCUCGUGUCGUGAGAUGUUGGGUCAAGUCCCGCAACGAGCGCAACCCUUGUGGCAUGUUGCUAACAGGAAAAGCUGAGGACUCAUGCCAGACUGCCGGUGACAAACCGGAGGAAGGCGGGGAUGACGUCAAAUCAUCAUGCCCCUUAUGGCCUGGGCUACACACGUACUACAAUGGCGGCUACAAAGAGCAGCGAGACAGGGAUGUCGAGCGAAUCUCACAAAAGCCGUCCCAGUUCGGAUUGGAGCCUGCAACCCGGCUCCAUGAAGUUGGAAUCGCUAGUAAUCGCGGAUCAGAACGCCGCGGUGAAUACGUUCCCGGGUCUUGCACACACCGCCCGUCA
This 1388-nucleotide ribosomal RNA is filed under the name uncultured bacterium. RNAcentral describes it as "bacterial SSU rRNA". It matches the Rfam family "Bacterial small subunit ribosomal RNA". The record is from RNAcentral.